GCACUGGAAGGUGUGGUUUACCUCAGGUGACUGUAUAAAGCUGCACAGUCUUAUUUUAAUCCCUGCAUCUAAGCAGAGA
Molecule: microRNA precursor, 79 nt
Filed under: Choloepus hoffmanni (Hoffmann's two-fingered sloth)
Lineage: Eukaryota; Metazoa; Chordata; Mammalia; Pilosa; Megalonychidae
Description: miRNA (ENSCHOG00000016170.1)
Source: RNAcentral